CCUACGGGAGGCAGCAGUAGGGAAUCUUCCACAAUGGACGAAAGUCUGAUGGAGCAACGCCGCGUGAGCGAUGAAGGCCUUCGGGUCGUAAAGCUCUGUUGUUAGGGAAGAACAAGUACCGGAGAGUAACUGCCGGUACCUUGACGGUACCUAACCAGAAAGCCACGGCUAACUACGUGCCAGCAGCCGCGGUAAUACGUAGGUGGCAAGCGUUGUCCGGAAUUAUUGGGCGUAAAGCGCGCGCAGGCGGUCCUUUAAGUCUGAUGUGAAAGCCCACGGCUCAACCGUGGAGGGUCAUUGGAAACUGGGGGACUUGAGUGCAGAAGAGGAAAGCGGAAUUCCACGUGUAGCGGUGAAAUGCGUAGAGAUGUGGAGGAACACCAGUGGCGAAGGCGGCUUUCUGGUCUGUAACUGACGCUGAGGCGCGAAAGCGUGGGGAGCAAACAGGAUUAGAUACCCUGGUAGUCCACGCCGUAAACGAUGAGUGCUAAGUGUUAGAGGGUUUCCGCCCUUUAGUGCUGCAGCUAACGCAUUAAGCACUCCGCCUGGGGAGUACGGCCGCAAGGCUGAAACUCAAAGGAAUUGACGGGGGCCCGCACAAGCGGUGGAGCAUGGUGGUUUAAUUCGAAGCAACGCGAAGAACCUUAC
RNAcentral lists this ribosomal RNA (648 nucleotides) under bacterium HN1-G-09. Its description in RNAcentral is "bacterial SSU rRNA". It matches the Rfam family "Bacterial small subunit ribosomal RNA", at positions 338 to 974 of the family's 1533-position model. The record is from RNAcentral.